Molecule: ribosomal RNA, 1456 nt
Filed under: Strombidinopsis acuminata
Lineage: Eukaryota; Ciliophora; Spirotrichea; Choreotrichida; Strombidinopsidae
Description: partial Eukaryotic large subunit ribosomal RNA
Rfam family: Eukaryotic large subunit ribosomal RNA
Source: RNAcentral
UGACGGAACGGGCCCCUCCGACCCGUCUAGAAACACGGACCAAGGAGUCUGACACGUGUGCGAGUACCCGGGUGGCAAUCCCGCGUGCGGAAUGAAAGUGAAGGGCACGCCCUGCCAACCGACCUGGACCUUCUGCGAAGGGUUUGAGUGGAGCACACCUGUCGGGACCCGAAAGAUGGUGAACUAUGCCUGAUUAGGGUGAAGUCAGGGGAAACUCUGAUGGAAGCUCGUAGCGAUACUGACGUGCAAAUCGUUCGUCGAACCUGGGUAUAGGGGCGAAAGACUAAUCGAACCAUCUAGUAGCUGGUUCCCUCCGAAGUUUCCCACAGGAUAGCUUGAACGCAACGGUUUUGUCAGGUAAAGCGAAUGAUUAGAGGCCUUGGGGCUGAAACAGCCUUAACCUAUUCUCAAACUUUAAAUGGGCAAGAGGUCCGGGAUGCUUGAGUGAUCCCGGGCGGCGAACGGCGCGUUCAAAGUGGGCCAUUUUUGGUAAGCAGAACUGGCGAUGCGGGAUGAACCGAACGCCGCGCUAAGGUACCCAAGUGUCCGCUCAUCAGAGACCACAAAAGGCGUUGGUACCUCCAGACAGCAGGACGGUGGCCAUGGAAGUCGGAAUCCGCUAAGGAGUGUGUUACAACUCACCUGCCGAAUGAACUAGUCCCGAAAAUGGAUGGCGCUCAAGCGUGUGACCGAUACCCGACCAUUGGCGCGAGAGUUAGGCGUCAAUGAGUAGGAGGGCGUGGGCGUCGUUGUGAAGCCUCUGGCGUGAGCCUGGGUAGAACGGCGUCUAGUGCAGAUCUUGGUGGUAGUAGCAAUUAUUCAAGUGAGAAUCUUGAAGGCCGACGUGGAGAAGGUUUCCGUGAGAACAGCAAUUGGUCACGGGUGACUCGAUCCUAAGACAUGGGGGAAAUCCUUGUUAAGUGCGCGCAAGCGCGUAGUCGAAAGGGAAUGAGGUUAAUAUUCCUCAAGCUGGAUGUGGAUGUUAAGUGGCAACACAAACGAACUUAGAAACGCCAGCGUGAGCCUCUGGAAGAGUUGUCUUUUCUUUUUAACAGACUAGUGUCCCUGAAAUUGGUUUACCCAGAGAUAGGGAGACACGUCUGGAAGAGCACCUCGCUUUUCGAGGUGUCAGGUGCGCUCAUGAUGGUCCGUGAAAAUCUAAGUGAGAAGUAUCACACCAGGUCGUACCCACAACCGCAUCAGGUCUCCAAGGUUAGCAGCCUCUGGCCAACUAGAACAAUGUAGAUAAGGGAAGUCGGCAAAAUAGUUCCGUAACUUCGGGAAAAGGAAUGGCUCUGCGGCUAGGGUGGACAGGGCCUGUUCGGAGGACCAAGUUGUCCUGGCAACCGGGGCGGCAACGCCCUGGGGCCGAGACGACGACAGUCUGAGGGACGGGUUUGUGCUUGCACUCCUGCCACAAUGAACUAGCGACGCAGAACUGGAGCGGACAAGGGGA